Molecule: long non-coding RNA, 628 nt
Filed under: Vigna radiata
Lineage: Eukaryota; Viridiplantae; Streptophyta; Magnoliopsida; Fabales; Fabaceae
Description: long non-coding RNA (VRAD_LNC007049)
Source: RNAcentral
AACGGUGCAAAUGAAAGCUUUUGACGCCGGGAAGAACUAUUCUGAAAAGGGGUUGAUGAUCGGAGAGGAGGAGGUGGUCGGAAUCUUAGAGAGAAGGUGGAGGGUUUUAGAGAGAAGGAGGAGAAAAUGGUGAGUUUUCUGGGGAUGGAAGAUGAAGAGUUUGCAUGUAGAAGAAAAAUGACGUCAGCUUCUAAAAUCCUUCUUUAAAUACUGCCACCCACAAAACCGCACGGUCCAAUCCCUGUCGGCCACCUGUCUUCACUUUCCGAGCUCUAUAAUCCCUGAGCUGCCACUUGGAUUCCACUUUCUGUGAAUUCCCUCCUUUCCUGCUGCCACGCAAUUCUUAAGGAAAGGGAAAUUAAAUGCAACAGGUUUUGUCUCCCACUUACACGGGGAAACUAGAAGGGCUUGACAUGUGUUCUCCACUAAGGUGGAGAAUUAAUGGGGUGUGACAAUUUUAAUAAUAAUAAUAUAUUUUUUUUCAUGUUAAAAAUUAUUUUUUAUUUUUUUUCUUCUCAUAAUAAAUUUUACAAUUAUAUAUAAUAUUUUCUUUGCAUACAUACCGAGUAAUCAAAGCUGGCAACUUCAAUAAUCAAUACCCAAUCCAGGCUCAAAAAUUGAAAGUUAU